UACGUAGGGUGCGAGCGUUAAUCGGAAUUACUGGGCGUAAAGCGUGCGCAGGCGGUUCGUUGUGUCGGUGGUGAAAGCCCCGGGCUUAACCUGGGAAUGGCCAUGGAAACUGGCCAGCUGGAGUGUGGCAGAGGGGGGUGGAAUUCCGCGUGUAGCAGUGAAAUGCGUAGAGAUGCGGAGGAACACCGAUGGCGAAGGCAGCCCCCUGGGCCAACACUGACGCUCAGGCACGAAAGCGUGGGGAGCAAACAGG
Molecule: ribosomal RNA, 253 nt
Filed under: uncultured bacterium
Lineage: Bacteria
Description: partial 16S ribosomal RNA
Rfam family: Bacterial small subunit ribosomal RNA
Source: RNAcentral